UACGAAGGGUGCAAACGUUGUCCGGAAUUAUUGGGCGUAAAGGGCUCGUAGGCGGUGUGUCACGUCGGCCGUGAAAACCUGCAGCUUAACUGUGGGCGUGCGGUCGAUACGGGCAUCACUGGAGUUCGGCAGGGGAGACUGGAAUUCCUGGUGUAGCGGUGAAAUGCGCAGAUAUCAGGAGGAACACCGGUGGCGAAGGCGGGUCUCUGGGCCGAUACUGACGCUGAGGAGCGAAAGCGUGGGGAGCAAACAGG
This 254-nucleotide ribosomal RNA is filed under the name uncultured bacterium. Its description in RNAcentral is "partial 16S ribosomal RNA". It matches the Rfam family "Bacterial small subunit ribosomal RNA", at positions 524 to 776 of the family's 1533-position model. The record is from RNAcentral.